CGGGGUGUAGCGCAGCCUGGUAGCGCACCUGAAUGGGGUUCAGGUGGUCGGAGGUUCGAAUCCUCUCACCCCGACCA
This 77-nucleotide transfer RNA is filed under the name bacterium. RNAcentral describes it as "tRNA-Pro". It matches the Rfam family "tRNA". Rfam says of the family: Transfer RNA (tRNA) molecules are approximately 80 nucleotides in length. Their secondary structure includes four short double-helical elements and three loops (D, anti-codon, and T loops). Further hydrogen bonds mediate the characteristic L-shaped molecular structure. tRNAs have two regions of fundamental functional importance: the anti-codon, which is responsible for specific mRNA codon recognition, and the 3' end, to which the tRNAs corresponding amino acid is attached (by aminoacyl-tRNA synthetases). tRNAs cope with the degeneracy of the genetic code in two manners: having more than one tRNA (with a specific anti-codon) for a particular amino acid; and 'wobble' base-pairing, i.e. permitting non-standard base-pairing at the 3rd anti-codon position. RNAcentral also lists the same sequence under 4 other names. The record is from RNAcentral.